UUGAGAGAGCAUAGAAUGACGGAUGGCCGUGAAUGUGUGAAUGUGUCCCUUUCCUCGCCCCACGUUAUGUUGGCGGGCGAUCGACCGUAGCUCAGUGCGAUCAGCACUAAGGAACAAUGAAUGAACUCGGAAGCAAAGGUCCCUUGGCGUGCGCAGGGAGCCCAAUGCGUCGGAGAUUCCUCGGAAUCAAAUGACUCUCGGCAAUGGAUAUCUCGGCUCUUGCAUCGAUGAAGAACGUAGUGAAAUGCGAUACUUGGUGUGAAUUGCAGAAUCUCGUGAACCAUUGAGUCUUUGAACGCAAGUUGUGCCCGAGGCCCUGUGGUCGAGGGCACGCCUGCUUGGGGGUCAUGGCAUCGUCGCCUUUGCUCCAUGCGUUGUUGGUGCCGAGUGCGGAAAUUGGCCCCGUGUGCCCUCGGGCACAGUCGGUUAAAGAGUGGGAAGUCGGCAAUCGUCGGGCACGACGGGCGUUGGUCGCCGUGGGCGGGAACAGAACGUCGUCCUCGUCGUUUUGAGAUGAGUUCUCAAGAGACCCUGUGCGAUUGUGGCGCCGGAUGAAAGAGCCGUGCCCAUCAAUCAACUU
RNAcentral lists this ribosomal RNA (580 nucleotides) under Borneocola calcicola. RNAcentral describes it as "eukaryotic LSU rRNA". The stretch from base 193 to 348 matches the Rfam family "5.8S ribosomal RNA". The record is from RNAcentral. Lineage: Eukaryota; Viridiplantae; Streptophyta; Magnoliopsida; Zingiberales; Zingiberaceae.